UUGAUUGCAAAAUUUCAACUCAACUAAGUCUUCUUCGGCUGCAGUGAAAUUGAUUUCUAAUUUGUAACUCAUCAAGGAAGGCUGAACAUGAACGAAAAUCGAGAGAGAAAUCUACGCCAACAGCAAACUGGAGCGGUUGAGGGUUGAUGUUCGACGAACUGCACACCGCGAGUCGCCCGCAAACGUUCGACGGUUGAAUUGCCACCCGGCACCGUGAAUCGCUAAGUUGAUCAAACUUCCGGACGCCAUAUAGUAUGGAUUUGCCAUUGGGAAUAUUGCGCCACCACCCGAAGCCAAUAAACCGCGCAUUUUGUAUCUUCCCAGGCGAAUCUGAGUCUGGCUGCACCGAUGCAGCUGGGUGAAGGACGUGCAGGAUGAAGGAUGAGUCUCCGCCCAGCAACCAUAAGGAGGUGUCAGCAAGAAGGUGCAGGAUAUAGCGGCCGUUAAGUAUGCCGAACGGAUGGCAAGGGCGGGAUGGAAUGACCUCGGGAAUGACGUAUCAGUGCUGUGUGUUAGGACAUUCCAGACGCAUCCCAGAUUCCGCCGAAGUGGGGUGCCUCGGGCGGGUUAAAACACCACUCGAUUCCGGCGUCGCUAGCUCGUCGGAUGCCUUCUUGAGUUUCGUUGGUCUCUUCAGUAGAUUCGCUGCACCGACAAAGUUGGCCCCGUUGUCAGUCCAUACGCUCGUUGGCUUGCCUCGCCGACACACAAACCGGUCAAUUGCUGUGGUUAACAGCACGCUGACGAUUUCGAGGUGGAUCGACGGUCGAACGAUUGUUUAUCGAAAUUUAUCGAAACCCCAGCUACCAUAUUAAAAUCGUCUUUUGCAUUUGGACUUGAUUAGGACGCAUUGAUGGAUCUUCAAAUAUUGAUUCACUUUUUAAGCCUGGAGUGCAUGCAUGCGACUGAUUGAAAUUCGUUAGUUUUAUUUUCUUGUGGAUUUACUAUAGAAUUCAACACAGUUUAUGAUUGUUCUCCAAGCUGUAAUCUGUCGAGUGUCUUUAAAUGCUAUCAAUGGUUAAGCCUGCUGUAAUGUUACAUUUGUACCUCAUCACCCACUUAAUGCAACUACAUUAGUGGUCUAACAACACUAGCGCGCUCGGCUCGGUUCCAUCAUGCCGCUUAUAGUGUUGCCACAUAUAAUGUUAUGUUUGCUAAACCCAGUUAUCUGGCUGGUGGGGCAUGGGAGCCUAAGCUACAACCAUUAAUGCAGUAAGACAAUACUUCAAAUUAAACAAAAGUGAUCUGAAUAUUUAAAGAUUUAUUGAAAAUAUAGAAGCUUUCGUAGCCAAAUUUUAACAAACUUGUUCUGUGAAGAUAGUUAUGUUUUGCUUUCUUUUGGGGCUGAUUUUCCUGUUUAUUUCCUUAUUAUCACAGGGUUAUAUAGCACCAUCUUGUGCAUAUGAACGCUUUGAACAGUCUUAUAAUAUAGGUUCGCUCUUAAAGACUGAAAUGCAUGCAUACUAUGGAAUUGAAUUUAAUCAUUUUCUCAUGGAUUAACUAUUAAAUUCGACGCCAUAGUAUGCUGUAUUCUGCAAGUUGUAGUCUAUCGAGUGUUUUAAGUGCUACAAAAAUGGUAAAGCACGCUAUAAUGUUACUUUUGUACCUCAUCACCCACUUAAUGCAACUACAUUAGUGGUCUAACAACACUAGCACGCUCGGCUCGGUUCCAUCAUGCCGCUUAUAGUGUUGCCACAUAUAAUGCUAUGUCUGCUAAACCCAGUUAUCUGGCUGGUGGGGCAUGGGAGCGUAUGCUUCAACCAUUAAUGCAAUUAAACAUCACACGAUUUACAACAUGAGUGAUCCAUAUAUUAUAUGAUUGUUCAAGCUAAGAAUAUGUACUUAAAAGGCAGCUUAAUAUAUGUAACCUUCUAGUCUUGCUUCUAGUCCAAAUGUAUAGAUAGAAAAUGUGGUUUACUUAAUUUGCAGUACAACAAGAAACCCAUUUCAAAACGUCUAACAUUCUUGUGAAAUUUGACUGAACAAUUUCAUUUGAUAACAUUAAGUUCACAACAGAAAACAAUUACCAAACCAUUGAAUCGAAUAUUCGAUCGUAAUAAAAUCACUGCUCAAAGCAAUACAUUAAUUGUACUUUUAACUAACAUUAGAAUCUUAUGUAUUACAAUAGAAAACCAUUCCGA
Long non-coding RNA from Aedes albopictus (Asian tiger mosquito), 2141 nucleotides. RefSeq lists it as uncharacterized. The record is from RefSeq and is a predicted model, not a curated record. The transcript has 3 exons. Lineage: Eukaryota; Metazoa; Arthropoda; Insecta; Diptera; Culicidae.